ACUGCAAAAAUCAGGAAACUGCUGAAAUGACACCACAGCAAAAGCAACUUCUAGAUAGCAUAUAUAUGGGUUUCACCUCAGCAAAUCUUGCAUGUUGUAAUCGACUGCUUGCUGUUAGGUCCAGAAUUGGACCAAUAUUUUUAAGUAAGUCCAGAAUCCAGAAGUUUUUAACGGUUGCUGAUUUUAUGAGUUAAAAUUUUUUUUUCGUCAUUGUCAAAGUGUUUUUGACAAUGCUUUUCAGGGUAAGUAUGUCACCUAGUUUUUGCUUGAAUGUUUUAUCCUUUUGAGUAAAGUGGUUGCAAUGAAAAGUAGUGCCACCAACGAAUGUCUGUAAACUUGUACACUACAAAAUUUAGAUUGUACCUCAUCAUUUCGAGAUCAACUUUUUUGUAUACUUAAUUGUUUAUUAUGGCCUAGUGUUAUUUCAAAAGGAAAAAUGUUUGUCAAGGCUGAAUUUAGAGAAACAGUUGCCCUUCAAACUUGGUGAAUCUUCAACAUUUUAAUACAGCAUAGGUCUUGUCUAGCCAGGGUAGGUAGGCUAUAGGCCUAGGAGGAGAGGAUACGUCUCACGGCUGUUUCAUUGCAUAGAACACGCUUUUUUAUUUCAAUAAGAUAGCAGCUGCUUCAUGAAUUUCUGUAGAAUAGUCCAUAGCAACAAAAUUUUGUGAAAAUAUGUAUUUGAUUUUAUAGAAAUAAACUAAUUUAAUAAUAAAAUUUAUCAAGUAUACAUUGGUAUUUUAUAGGAAUAGGCUUUAUAGAUGCUGUACUCACUGAGAUACCAUAUAAAAUUCCUAGUAAUUAUAUGACUUUGAAUGAUUUUAUUUUCUGCACAAUUGCUGUUGAAUUGUAAAUAUACAGCGCCCUCACACUGAUAUGUAAAAAUCGUAAAGGUAAACAAAACUCUUCUGCAUGUAACUGUUGUCUAUAAUUUUUAGUGUUAAUUUGCAAAGCUACCCUAAGAAAUAAUUAUGUUAUUACUUUCAACAUACAUUUGUUAGGACGUAAGACCUAUAAUCAUUUCUUACUUAACUUUUUCUUCAACCUAUUUUUUGUCUCUUUAGCCUAGACAUGUUGAAGACUAUGCAUACAGCGCGUGUUUUGUGCGCUCUAACAACCCUCCAUGUUCAACGAACCCGUAAAGUGGGCCUAGGAAGUAUUUACUUUGUUACAUAAGCUGUUAUAUAAAAUUAAAUGGCAGUUGGUAAACAAGCAGAUUGAGAUAGUGACAUGUUUAGCAGCAGUGGAAAUGAAAAAUGCUUAUAAAAAUUGAGAAAGCGGAGAACAACACAAGAACAGAUUCUGAGUGCCAUGUUGGUAUGCAGGCAGAUUGAAAGCAGUGUUUUCACUUGAUGUGUGUAUAAUAAUUGGAAAAAUGGAUAACAACUGAAGAAUACCAGAUUCUGUUCAUUUGAAAGAGCAGCAUGUUGAUAAACUGUGGUUGAGAGCGUAAUUGGAAAGCUUAAUAUCAGUUUCUGUUGAUUCAUUUGCAUAUUCCACCAGAUCAGCUAUCCUCAUUACCAGGCAGAGAAAUGAUGAAUAUUCAUUGAAUUCAGCUAGAACUGCAAAAACCAGCAAAACUGCAGAACUAACACCAAGUCAAGAACAACUUCUGAGAGGCAUAUAUAUCUUUCAGCGGGGCCAAGGGUGGUGGGUGGCGCGUAGGUUCCACGCGUGGCGAUCGCCUAUGAUGGGCGAUCGCUUCCGCUUGGAUAAUCCCAACUGUCUUUUUGCGUGAGAUGCUGACGAAAUUUUCCAAAAAAGUUUCGUUAACAUUUAUUGCAUUGUACAGUAUGUGUUGUUUGAAAUACAGUAACUACAAAUGAGCUGUAGUACAAAUACAAAA
Molecule: long non-coding RNA, 1843 nt
Filed under: Anneissia japonica
Lineage: Eukaryota; Metazoa; Echinodermata; Crinoidea; Comatulida; Comatulidae
Description: uncharacterized LOC117107013, transcript variant X2
Source: RNAcentral